This is a long non-coding RNA of Capsicum annuum, 2196 nucleotides long. RefSeq lists it as uncharacterized. The record is from RefSeq and is a predicted model, not a curated record. The transcript is spliced from 4 exons. Lineage: Eukaryota; Viridiplantae; Streptophyta; Magnoliopsida; Solanales; Solanaceae.
AAGGGGGUCAUUCUUUUUUAAAUGGACUAAAAAGGAAAGUAGGUCAUUCUUUUUUAAAUGGAGGGAGUAUUUGUAGAGUUAUUUUGGUAUUUUGAUUCGAAUAGUGACCUGUCUCUAUCCGUAGAGCCGUGAUCUAUCCAUAGACCCGUGGUCUAUGAAAUGAGAAUGCCUUAGAUUGAAAUCAAUUUUAAGACGUAAAUUCUUUUAAAAUAUGAUUGCUAAAAUAGUGAAAAUUUAAAGAUUAAUAGCGAAUUAGUUUGAUUAGGUGCAUUACUUUGAUUUCUAGCAAUUGUUGUGUUUUGAUACUGCAUGUUGGAUUUUGGUUCAGGUAUUGUAUGUUUGUGUAGUAAGCUAUUUAAUGGUGGGGUAUUUCUUAAUAAAUUUUUUUUUUUAGUGGGGGGGGGGGGGGGAUUAUUUGAGCAUUGGGUUAUUUCUGUUGAUAGAUUUAUGUUCUAUGAACUGAAAAUGGUAGAUUUGUUAGCGUAGAUUGUGUUAAAAAUGGCUAAAAAAGCAUCCUUUCUAAACGGAAAGACGGUACUGCUUCUAAUUCUACUGGUAGCAGUAGAAAAAGAAAAGCUGAGGUAGUUGAAAAUGUCUCAAAAAAGAAGAAAAUUGAAGAGGCAAUAUCCAAAUUAGAUUUGGAGUUAAAGGAGAUAAGCAACUACGUUGAUUCUGGUGAAGAUGUUGCCAAGAGUGGUGUUAGUGGCGAAAGUAAAGGGAGCGAGCAAAGUGGGAGAAAUGGUGAUAAUAGGGAUAAUGAUCCCUUGUCCAUGCCAUCUCUUUCAAGGUUCAUUUUCAUGGAGCGGUAUGACCUUCAAAUGAUAAUAGACGAGGUCGAAUCUUUUCUGACAAAGAUAUCGGUCAGAUCAAGAAUGACUGCUUAUCGAGAAUUUAAGCAAGUUCUUAUCGGCCAGGAAUUAAAGAAAAGAUUCAUGCGGUCCUAUUUUGGACCCUUGAAAAACCUACCGGAACAUCUCAAGUUCAUAGGCAGUUGGUCCAUUAUUUGUUGUUGUGAUGCAUCAAAAAUGAUAAGAUGCAUCAUGAGAUAUAAUUCUACGUUAAUAACAAGCCUGCCUGAUUUGGAUUGAAAGAUUUUUAUUUGAUCACGGGGAUGAACUGCUCGUUAUACCCCAGUGAAUCAAAAAUAAAGAAAGUGUUAGCAAAGCGGGAGAAUGUUUGCUUUAAGGUGAUGAAAAAUAAAAACAUUAUGACAGCCAACUUGUUACACCUGAUUAGAGGUAAUAAGCUGAACGAGGACCAGAAAUUUAAGUGUUAUUUAUUAUGGUUCUUGCACACCUUGUUUCUUGUAAAAUAUAUAACGAAGGUUGUCAACACAAAACUGAUUCGAAUGGUGAAUUCUUUGAGUUUCAUCGAGAAUUAUCCAUGGGGAAAAGAGACAUUUCAACUGACCAUGAACUAUUUGAAGAAGGAAAGUAACCUAAAGAAGCAGAAGGAAGUAUUUGAUGAGAACCAGAAGGCAUCCAUGCUUUAUUCAGAUUUUCCUGGGCUUUCAUGAUUUGGAUCUAUGAGGCCUUUCCUCAUCUUGGAAAAUUUACUGGAAAAUUAAUACAUUAGCCCUUUCCCAUUCCCCGCAUCCUUAGAUAGCACACUACAAAAAGUGACAAGAUAAUCGAAGGCGACCUAUUCAAGUAUAAAGAAAAAGUUACCGAGAACGUGCACCCGUACAUCAUCCCCACUGUUCGUGAGACAAAGAUGGAUUAUAUGAUUACGUUUAAGCAAUAUACGGAUGAGGUAAAGAAUAGCAUCCUCGGUGGCUUGAAGAAAGAGUUAGAAGGGGUGAUUGUCCUUACUUCAAAUGAGGGCAGUGAUGAUUAUGGGGAUUUGGGUGGUAACCCCAUUGAGGUAUGGAUUGGUGAUGAUGCUUCUUCGAGUACCUCCAAAGAUGCAGCGGGUAGCUUAUACCCUUCGGAUCUUCAUAAGCAUGUUGUUGUGCUUAAGGAAGCGUUGUUGGAUAUUGCUGUCUAUAUUUGAGUGAAAAGACUGAAUAAAAAGGAAAAGAAUGAGCGACAACACGAGCGAGUGCAUGUGGACCUUCGUGAAUCAGAGAGGAAUGAUGAAGGAGAAAAAAAAAGCAAAAUGGAUGAGUUGGCCACUACUAUGGCAGAAGAGAAACAAGAAGAAGAAUAAAAGGAGGACGAAUAAAAAAUGGAAGAAGAUAAGAGCCAAGAAGAAAGU